This 253-nucleotide ribosomal RNA is filed under the name uncultured prokaryote. RNAcentral describes it as "partial 16S ribosomal RNA". It matches the Rfam family "Bacterial small subunit ribosomal RNA", at positions 524 to 776 of the family's 1533-position model. The record is from RNAcentral.
UACAGAGGUCUCAAGCGUUGUUCGGAUUCAUUGGGCGUAAAGGGUGCGUAGGUGGCGGGGUAAGUCAGGUGUGAAAUCUCGGAGCUCAACUCCGAAACUGCACUUGAUACUGCUUUGCUCGAGUACUGGAGAGGAGACUGGAAUUUACGGUGUAGCAGUGAAAUGCGUAGAUAUCGUAAGGAAGACCAGUGGCGAAGGCGGGUUGCUGGGCCGACACUGACGCUGAUGCGCGAAAGCCAGGGGAGCGAACGGG